ACAUCGUCACCGAAGCCCUGAACAAGUUCAAGACCGGCCGAGCCCUUUGUGCUGCCCCUCCCCAGGAAAUCCGAGAGGGCUCCCCAGGUCACAGGACUCUGAAAGCAUCUUUCAACUCCAAAAGGAAGGCCUCUGAUGAUGUGGCCGGGGCUGCUGAACUUUCAGCCAAGAAGAGGAGGUCAUCCUUGGAUCCAGCAAACACGGAUCUCUUUGGGCAUGCUGUGCCCCUGUUUGAUCGACCAGUGGAUGUGGGUCCCUCGCAAGAUCCUACAAGCCCUGCUCCCGUUUCUCCCAGAGGACCUUCCAGUCCGUUCUCCGAUCUAGGGCGCCUCCCCGGAGACCCAUGGACCCCGACUGUGAAAACUCAGAGGAGAAGGAGCAGCGGCAGAAAACGCCCCCAAAGGAAGCAUUCCGCUCUGACUCCCCCCUGCCGCUCGCCAGGGCCUUUUGAGCGGAAGGACACAGGGCGCAAGUCCUUGCGCAUCUUCUCCCGCAGCAGCAAGGAUCAG
Podarcis raffonei (Aeolian wall lizard) is the source of this 509-nucleotide long non-coding RNA. RefSeq lists it as uncharacterized. Lineage: Eukaryota; Metazoa; Chordata; Lepidosauria; Squamata; Lacertidae. The record is from RefSeq and is a predicted model, not a curated record. The transcript has 5 exons.